UACUUUCUUGUUUCUAUGAAACUGGAGCACUAGGCUAAGCUCCGAAGGAGAACUUGAUUUUCCCAGGUCGUAAACAAUGAGAAAUCAGGUACCCAGAAGCUAUAGCUUGAAGAACACAGUAAUCAUUUCUUCUUCAACUCAAGUAAAAUAAAAAGAAAAAACCAAAGAUCAUAUGCAAACAUCAAUGACGCACCCACAUACAAAUAACAUGGUAAAUAUGUAGUGAAAUAGAGGAGUAGAGUUUAGAGGCUCAAUUUACAAGUAAAAGGAGAAGACAUUGUCCUUCUUUUAGAAUUUUGAGAGUUGGAUGCCACUUUUAUUUGUUGUUAUUUUUCAAUUGAGUAGCGAGUCGUUCGGUGGUACUUUUUGUUUUGC
RNAcentral lists this long non-coding RNA (375 nucleotides) under Citrus sinensis (sweet orange). RNAcentral's name for it is "long non-coding RNA (CSIN_LNC004163)". Lineage: Eukaryota; Viridiplantae; Streptophyta; Magnoliopsida; Sapindales; Rutaceae. The record is from RNAcentral.